This 313-nucleotide long non-coding RNA is filed under the name Nicotiana benthamiana. Its description in RNAcentral is "long non-coding RNA (NBEN_LNC001816)". Lineage: Eukaryota; Viridiplantae; Streptophyta; Magnoliopsida; Solanales; Solanaceae. The record is from RNAcentral.
CAAUUAAACUACUGUUAUUUUGAUUCGACAUAUAAUCUACCACAUAACUGAGUAUAUGUCGGAUCACAUUACUCUUCAAAGAAAGACGCUGCAUCAUCGAAAUCUUGUCAUUUUGGCACUGGUUCUUGUUAGUGUAAUAACAAGUGAGCGAAUUGCAAUAAGAUGGUAUUUAGUGUAUGUAGAUACAAGUGCUGACAGUUGUGUGAAUUUAUAUCAGGGCAAGGCACUUGCAGAACUGUUAGAUGAAGAUCCUGCAUUGAUGGAGAGAAGAAUGCAAUGUGCUAAGAGGCUCGAACUAUACAAGAAAGCAAGA